UACGUAGGGUGCGAGCGUUAAUCGGAAUUACUGGGCGUAAAGCGUGCGCAGGCGGUAAUGUAAGACAGAUGUGAAAUCCCCGGGCUCAACCUGGGAACUGCAUUUGUGACUGCAUCGCUGGAGUGCGGCAGAGGGGGAUGGAAUUCCGCGUGUAGCAGUGAAAUGCGUAGAUAUGCGGAGGAACACCGAUGGCGAAGGCAAUCCCCUGGGCCUGCACUGACGCUCAUGCACGAAAGCGUGGGGAGCAAACAGG
This 253-nucleotide ribosomal RNA is filed under the name uncultured bacterium. Its description in RNAcentral is "partial 16S ribosomal RNA". It matches the Rfam family "Bacterial small subunit ribosomal RNA", at positions 524 to 776 of the family's 1533-position model. The record is from RNAcentral.